Molecule: ribosomal RNA, 465 nt
Filed under: uncultured bacterium
Lineage: Bacteria
Description: partial 16S ribosomal RNA
Rfam family: Bacterial small subunit ribosomal RNA
Source: RNAcentral
GACGAACGCUGGCGGCGUGCUUAACACAUGCAAGUCGAACGGAAAGGCCCCUUUGGGGGUACUCGAGUGGCGAACGGGUGAGUAACACGUGAGUAACCUGCCCUUGACUUCGGGAUAACUUCAGGAAACUGGGGCUAAUACCGGAUAGGAAUCCUUGCUGCAUGGUGGGGGUUGGAAAGCUUCGGCGGUUUUGGAUGGACUCGCGGCUUAUCAGCUUGUUGGUGGGGUAGUGGCUUACCAAGGCUUUGACGGGUAGCCGGCCUGAGAGGGCGACCGGCCACAUUGGGACUGAGAUACGGCCCAGACUCCGACGGGAGGCAGCAGUGGGGAAUAUUGCACAAUGGGCGGAAGCCUGAUGCAGCAACGCCGCGUGCGGGAUGACGGACUUCGGGUUGUAAACCGCUUUCAGCAGGGGCGAAGCUUGUGGUGACGGUACCUGCAGAAGAAGCACCGGCUAACUACGUG